CCCGUUUGUUGACAGCGGAAGGACAUUU
This 28-nucleotide ribosomal RNA is filed under the name Trichoderma harzianum. RNAcentral's name for it is "partial 18S ribosomal RNA". The record is from RNAcentral. Lineage: Eukaryota; Fungi; Ascomycota; Sordariomycetes; Hypocreales; Hypocreaceae.